RNAcentral lists this ribosomal RNA (274 nucleotides) under uncultured bacterium. RNAcentral's name for it is "partial 16S ribosomal RNA". It matches the Rfam family "Bacterial small subunit ribosomal RNA", at positions 523 to 796 of the family's 1533-position model. The record is from RNAcentral.
AUACGGAGGGUGCAAGCGUUAUUCGGAAUCACUGGGCGUAAAGGACGCGUAGGCGGGUUGGCAAGUCAGAUGUGAAAUCCUACAGCUUAACUGUAGAACUGCAUUUGAAACUGCUAACCUAGAGUAUGGGAAGGGGAGAUGGAAUUAGUGGUGUAGGGGUAAAAUCCGUAGAUAUCACUAGGAAUACCGAAAGCGAAGGCGAUCUCCUGGAACAUAACUGACGCUAAGGCGUGAAAGCGUGGGGAGCAAACAGGAUUAGAAACCCUAGUAGUCC